RNAcentral lists this ribosomal RNA (468 nucleotides) under uncultured bacterium. RNAcentral's name for it is "partial 16S ribosomal RNA". It matches the Rfam family "Bacterial small subunit ribosomal RNA", at positions 28 to 507 of the family's 1533-position model. The record is from RNAcentral.
GACGAACGCUGGCGGCGUGCUUAACACAUGCCAGUCGAACGGAAAGGCCCUGCUUUUGUGGGGUGCUCGAGUGGCGAACGGGUGAGUAACACGUGAGUAACCUGCCCUUGACUUUGGGAUAACUUCAGGAAACUGGGGCUAAUACCGGAUAGGAGCUCCUGCUGCAUGGGGGGGGUGGGAAAGUUUCGGCGGUUGGGGAUGGACUCGCGGCUUAUCAGCUUGUUGGUGGGGUAGUGGCUUACCAAGGCUUUGACGGGUAGCCGGCCUGAGAGGGUGACCGGCCACAUUGGGACUGAGAUACGGCCCAGACUCCUACGGGAGGCAGCAGUGGGGAAUAUUGCACAAUGGGCGGAAGCCUGAUGCAGCAACGCCGCGUGCGGGAUGACGGCCUUCGGGUUGUAAACCGCUUUCGCCUGUGACGAAGCGUGAGUGACGGUAAUGGGUAAAGAAGCACCGGCUAACUACGUG